AAGUCGUAACAAGGUGACCCUGCGGAAGGAUCAUUAACACGUAUCCAGAUCGAAAAGCGUUAUCCUUACACAACCAAUGACACUUCCAGACUGGGGAAACCAGGCCACUUGCAACGAUCGCUCGAUCUUCGCCUACCAAACUGAGGUCCCUGAAUCAAAAUCUGUUCAACAAUGAUUUACCAGGGAUUGCAAUUCCGGCGGGCUAGGAAGUAUAAAAGUUCACAGGGGCACUAGAGGCCGAACACCGGCCGGUGACCAGGUCGCCGUGGCUUCGGCCCCCUAUAACCCCACUACCUGAACUCGCCUCGUAGGAAACUGCUGGGGAACAAAACGAACAACUGUUAACAAUGGAUAUCUUGGUUCUG
This 365-nucleotide unclassified non-coding RNA is filed under the name fungal sp. RNAcentral's name for it is "partial internal transcribed spacer region". The record is from RNAcentral. Lineage: Eukaryota; Fungi.